GACCUUGUGGCGCAAGGGCAGCGCGUCUGACUCCAGAUCAGAAGGUUGUGUGUUCAAAUCACACCAGGGUCA
Molecule: non-coding RNA, 72 nt
Organism: Columba livia (rock pigeon)
Lineage: Eukaryota; Metazoa; Chordata; Aves; Columbiformes; Columbidae
Source: Rfam